RNAcentral lists this long non-coding RNA (2753 nucleotides) under Jatropha curcas. RNAcentral describes it as "long non-coding RNA (JCUR_LNC002887)". The record is from RNAcentral. Lineage: Eukaryota; Viridiplantae; Streptophyta; Magnoliopsida; Malpighiales; Euphorbiaceae.
CCCUCUUUUCUAAAUCUGCCACCAAACAACCCUUAUUCUUUCUCUCUUCUUCGUAACGUUAACUUGCUUUCAUCUCCAACGGGAAGAAAAAUGCAAUUUGAGUAUAAAACAUGAUUUGGUAGAAAUCUUCAAGGUAUGAGAGUUAAAAUUUGUUCUUAAUUUUUAUUAUUUAAAUCCUCUCAUCUCUCUUCCUCUUGCUUUCAUGAUUGUUUGCUAAAGAAAAGAGAAAAUUGAUUUUUAUGAGAGAAAUUAUUUGCUCUUAAUUUUCAAAAUACAAAUUCUCUCAUCUCUGUUCUUUAUCUUGCUUCAUUGCAUUAUAUCUAAGAGAAGAUAAUAGAACCAAUUCUAUGGAGGGAGAUUUUCUAAACAAAACUGAUUUCAUAUUUAAAAAUCUUUCUCCUAAGCCGAACUUAGCAUAUCCCUCUAUCUAUUGUAGUUUUUGUAAUCUAGAAUGGAUAUAAGUUUUUUAAUCUCAAAAUCUGUGAAUGACAACUUUAUGUAAAGCUUGUUUGUAAGGGUUUUCAAGCAUCCAUCUUGUAUUAGAAUAAGUCUUACAAAUUUGCUAGUUCUUUGAAAAAACUAGUUAAGUUUUCUAGUUCUUUAGAAAAACUAGAGUUUAAGUUUUCUAGUUUUUUACUAAAACUAGACGUUAAGUUUACUUGUUCUUUGCAAAAAUAAGUUAAGUUUCCUAAUUCUUUAUAAAAACUAGUAGGGUUAAGUUUACAAGUUCUUUGCAAAAACUUGUGGCUUAUGGUUAGCUCUAAGUGAUAAGAUUAUUUCCGUUGUAAUAGGCUUUACUUUUGCCAUUGAAAAGAGUAGGUUAGUGGAGAAUCUCAAGAUGGAUUCUUGAGUAAUGAAUGUAGGUGAGUUGAGUGCCAAACCACUAUAAAUUUUUUGUAUUAGAUUUCUCCUCUUUUCUUUCUCUUUGUGGCUUUGCUUGAAAUUACUUACUCACACAAAUAUAUUAUGAUGAUAUCCUUGAAUAUUGGUUGAUCAAUUGCUCUAUGUGCUAAAUUGUGUAUACUUUGUGAUUGAAAUCUACUUUGUACCAAAACUGAAUUUGAGUUGCAGAAAUGCUUUAUUUUCGAUGAGCUAGAAUCAGAAAAAUUUCCAGAUUUGAUAUUUUAAUGAACAUGUUAAAUUGUUUACAUAUUUAAGUAAUUUAUAUACUCUUAUAAUGUGGAUAUUCAUUGAAUAUGUUAAAUUGUUUACAUAUUUACGUAAUUUAUAUGCUCUUAUAAUGUGGCUAUUUAUUGGACAUUCAUUUGAAAAAGGUCUUUAAAAGCCUAAAUUUUUAAAAAUCAUAAUUCGCCGCCUCUUGUCUAUAGCUUAUCGGGACUUAUAUUGUCAUUUUAAAUUUAAAUGCCAAUAAAAAUACUAUUUUUACUCAACAUAAACAUUUGAUAGCUUAAUAACCAAUAACUAUUAAAUCAGCUAAUAGCUAUUAUAACAGACCCUUAAAUCCAUAAAUUUUGUUUUUCAAUAAAAAAAAUAAUUUUUAAUUUCUAAAAACAAGAAAAAUUUUAAAUUCCAUAGCUUUUGUAAUAUCCAUUGGUUUUUCAUUUCAUCAAUCCCAACAACCACAAACUGAAAUUGAAAUAAGAAAAAUCGAAAAAGAAAAUAUGCUUUAUGAUUUUAUUAGCAUAUUAUUCUAAAUGUGUUCUCUUCUUUUCUCUAAUUUCUUCACUCACGAUAACAGCUCAGCUCUUGAACUAAAGCAUUGAAAUCAGAGUAAGAAGAUCCACCUUCUUCAAUAGCUUGUCUUGCCAUCUCUCCGCACUGUCUUGCUCUGCUCCUCAUUUCCUCAGCUUCUUCGCCUGCCAUAACUCUAUUAAUUGCCUUCUCUAUAGCUUCUCUUUUAAUAUAAUCCCCACGCAAUCUAACAAUUUCCUUAGCACCGACACCAAUCCCAAUUUUCAGAACCUCAGUCACUAACUUCUCAUUAAAGAAUUGCUCAGCAAAUACAGGCCAUGUGACCAUUGGUUUCCCUGAAGUUACACCUUCAAGUGUAGAAUUCCAUCCACAAUGAGUCACAAAUGCUCCUAUUGCUUCAUGUUCAAGAAUCAACACUUGUGGCGCCCACCCUCUUAUGAUAAGUCCUUUCCCUUCCAUUUUCUUCUCAAAUCCUUCAGCCAGCCAUUCUUCUUCAUUUCCUUCACUAUUCUUGUUUCUUGUCACUACCCAAAUGAAUUUUUGUCCAGCAGCUUCUAGAGCUAUUGCGAUUUCCUUAAGUUGAGAGUCACUGAAAUUAGAUGAACUUCCAAAACAUAUAUAAAUAACUGAAUUCGGUUUCUUGGAGUUUAGCCAUUUCAAACACUCAUGUUCAUCAAUGGAAGCUUCUUUUCCUCUUUGUGCUUUAUCUUCCAUUCCUCUAUUGCUUAUCGAGACUGGGCCUAUAUGCCGUGCCGUUCUGCCCAAAACAUUCCUGUAAUGAUCAGCGUAAGCUUGCUCGAGCUCGUAGAAACUGUUUACAACCACUCCAAAGCUCUUUAACUCUGACUCCAUCGAUUCUUUAAUCAUCUUAGUAAAAGCAUUUUCAACUUCUUCUCUAAAAGAACUGGGGAGUUGUUUUCUUGUUAUCUUUAUUUCUCCUGGAAGACUUGGAAUGACAAAGGGCUCUGAAUCUGAUAAAAAUUUUCUGUGUGGCUGAUACAGCCUAAUAGAUUCUCCGGCGCACAAAGAAAAGAAACUAGUGCCAUGAAACACUAAUCUUGGAAUUGCAAAUUUGGAAGCAGCAUCAGUAGCCCAAGGAA